GCGGAGUCCGAUUGGCGGAUCUCAACGUCCUCCACCGUGGGAUCGGAUUCGGAGAUUUGCAAGAAGGAUCGGAAUCGGGGGGAGUCGAGGAGGAUGGUGGGGAGGUCGGACGGUAGCUUGUGGGCGGUGGAGGAGGUGGCGAAGGCGACGGAGGGUNUAUGUUUCCUUAAAAGGGACACAUGCUUCGCUGUCGACGUGGACAUUUAGUUUGUGAUGAUGCUUGUCAUCAUCUCUCGACGAUCUCUUUUGUCUUUGAUUUGUUUGACUCAAAGUAUAUGUAUCAGGUUUAGGUUUUAUGUCUCGAUGAGCGUGACCGCUCAAUUCAGAUGAUACAUGUCUUUGAGCUUUGUUUUGUAGAUGGACGUCAUCCUCGUGGAGAUCGAGUCGUGCUGCCCAUCCCGAGAUUGAGCGCUGCGGGAAUGGAGCUAGGACCAGGCACCUUUCGCGUCGUCGGCCUCGGACACCGAGACGUUUUGUCUCCAUUGUUGACCCGCACUCUUGAUGACAUUUUUGUUCAUCAAGAGUCACCCAUGGCGGGUUUGUUGUAGCCAGGUGGGUGAUUCAGAUGUCUUCCCUCGUUCUCAUCAAUCUUUUCGUACUUCAUUUGAGAUGGCGAUAGCUAGUGAUGUGAUAGUACGAGAUGUGAUUGGUUGACAUCCUUUACAGGUUAGACUGGAUUAGGUUAGCCCUGACAUUCGUAUGGGCAGGGGCCCUGACACUUAUGUGGGCAAGGACGGGGCAAUGCUGAUAGCCCGAGAUAGGUGUGAUUGACCAGGCACCUCUCGUUCAGGUUGACCGUACUCGCUGUGGUUGCGCUUUCGUGUUUCGGACUGAGGCCUCGCCGUGAGCACCCGCGAUGGGUUGGCUCAUACGUCGCAUAGAGACAGCUCGAGUUUGUCCGAGACUUUUCGGUUUCAGUUCUUUAGCUGAGAUUGACCAGAUUGUUGGUUGUUCAUUGUACGGGAGCCAUGUUAGUCUGCGGUUUUUCCGCUAUGCCCAGGUGGCAGUUGGGGCUGCCGUGGGUUGUCAGGCCUUGUCAGAUUUGCGAUGACAUUUUUAAGUGAGCCGUGGAGUCGCGCUCACAUUGAUUUUAGAUUUGAUGGACCCUAUGAACGAUACUACUAUGACGCUGUCAUGUUUUAAUACGUUGCCGGGUAUCCCGAUUUAGUCCAUCAAAUUUAUCCACUGCUAAGGUUAGCACAAAAGAGGAUUCAGUUUAGGGUCAGGUUGUACAUGUAAAUUCUAAAUGAUUAGUACAAGAGUUAUGACUAAAAUAGGUCCUAUAGUAGUGCUAGUAGUUUGGUGUUGUACUAAUGGCUUUGACUUUUUAGUAUGUACAGCUGCUAAUGCCAUGAAUCCUUAUUUGGAUACAUUUGGGUGGAAUCAGCGAUUAGGGGUCGUCGCUCCUGUAGGGUUUCGUUUCCUUGUGGACGACCUAGUUAGGCGUUUGGAGGUUCCGGUCUUUAGUACGAGGGCGGUUUGAGAUGUGUAUUUUAGGCUUUUACUCGUGACUAAGACGGAGUUUUUGUCGUCGUCUCUUCUCUUAUUAAGGCUAGUUCUUUUGGUGGUGGUUUUGGUCGUUCAUUCCCGAAGCACCUAAAGAGAGCUUCAGGGCUUAGGUUGCUUGGUUCAGAGCAGCUUUAGGAUGCGAGGAUGCAGCUCUUCCUUGGCUUUGCGGCUGCCAGCUGCGACCUUUAGUCACUUUUGUCGUGGAGCUCGAGCUUAAGUUACUUCGAACUUCAUCUCUUCUUUAGGUACCUCCUUACUCUCUAUGGGUGGAGUUGGUCGCUGAGGUUAAGGUCGUGCCGCAGCUCUUGCCGCUUUUGUAAGGGAGCGGGCCGGAGGAGCGCUAUGAUGCCGCUGCGUGCAUACGAGCCUGCCGAGGCGCCGCGCUACAGCUGCUGCUUUACGAGGUGUGCUUGGGAGAAACGAGUGUUAGCCGAUCUCUCUCUCCUCUUCUUUUAAUUAAUUCCUCCGCCUCCAACGUUGGGAGAUUUACCUAUUCGUACGUACGUACGUACGUACCCCCGUGUACAGUAGUAUAUAUAUACAUAUUCCUAUGAUGUGUGUAGUAACUUUUGUUGAACCUUCAUGCCUCCGGAGGAACGAUGGAUAUCAUAUGGUCGGAUGGAGUAUAUAUAUAUAUAUAUAUAUAUAACGGCGGAUUUGUCGGCGUGCCCGGGGAACGAGACAUCCGGGGCAUGACAAUGUGGCUUCUAAAUUGACGAUCGAUUCCGUUAGACUUGAUCUACACUAUUGAAAGUAUUUGGAAACUAAAUAAAUUUUAUAAUUUUUCGAUAUCAUAUACCUAUCAAACGAGUAGUCUAAAAAUAAACGGCUGAAAAUAAAAAUCUCAUAAAAAAUGAUGAUAAAAUACUUGAAUUUAAGAUCAGAGGUACUAAUUUUACUAUAAAUAGUGAAAAAAAUUUUAUAAAAAUUCCAUCAGAUUUGGAUUGUUUUGCACCGUUAAAUUCAAAAACGUAUCACAUCUACCAUUAAAAUUGUCAAUUUUGAGACUUUUGAUCACUAGCCAAAUGAUGCCGAAAAAUUAUGAAAUUUAGUUUCCAAAUACUUUUAAUAGGGUAGAACAAGUCUAACGGAGCCGAUUGUCGAUUUGGAAGCCGCAAUAUUGAAAACAACUUGGUAGCACGAAGGCCUCCGUGCUACCGAUAGUAUACCAGCCUAGCUCUCUCUCUCUCUCUCUAUAUAUAUAUAUAUGUGUGUGUGUCUGUGUGUGUGUGUGUGUGUGUGUGAUUGCUUUGCUCAUGAAAGAACUUGGCAUUGUUAAUUUGGCAACAUUGUUAUACUUUUGCUGGGAAGUGACUUAUAUAAUUAGGAGAAAGUCACCUACAGGGCAAAUAUGGUACGCUGAUCCAGAUGAUUGAUCAUAAUUGUUAUCUAUCUAAUAUUAUAAAUUUCAUCAGUAAAUUAAAAAGGAAUAUGCUAAUUAAAUAAAAUAUUUAUACAUUUAGACAUGACUUAUUAAUAAGUCAAAUUUUAAAUAUAAUACUUUUUUAGAAAGAGGCACGGAGCAUAUUUGAGAUUUGCCAAAGAUAGAUUGGUUCUAACUUCCUAUGUCUUUAUCCUUACGAGCCUUUAUCCUUACAAGUCAUCGUGACAAAGCUUGUUCAAAAUCCAAAUUAAAAAAAGAAAAGAAACAAAAAAAAAAAAAACCCACUAAUUGCACACUCCAUUCCUAACAAUUAACAACCAAUAUUUAAAAAUUAAACCCACCAGCGACUCAAAAAUAUUACUAAACUAAGAAUCACUGUUUCAACCUUGAUAAUACUUACUGACCGUCCCUAGAGCUAGGGCUGGCAAACGAGCGAGCCGGCUCGCGUUCGACUCGUGUUCGGCUCGAUAUUCGGCUCGCUCGAGCUCGACUCGAAAUUAAAUGAGCCGAGCUUGAACAAAAUAAAAGGCUCGAAAUUUAUUUCAAGCCGAGCUUGAAUAUUACUCGGCUCGUUCGAAUUAGGCUCGAAAAGCUCGAAAAGCUCGAAAAUAUAUAUAUAUAGGCUGGGACUACUAUACUCUUAUAAGUAUAGACCCCUUUGUACUCAUAAAUUUUUAACCGUUGAUUGAUGAGAUGUGUGGUUAGGAUGAUGGUGGUCUCCACUUAGAAUGAUAGUGGUCCCCUAGGGUUGAGUGGGUAGUUGGUUAAAUAGUAUGAUCUAACGGAUGAAAAUGAUUAAUGGAAUAAAUCUAAGGGUCGAAAACUUAUGCCACCGUUUGGUUGGGGGUUAAGGGGUGGAAUAACCCCUUAACCCCCAAUUUAUACCCAAACACCACUCUUUUGGGGUGGGGUUAGUAAACCCCACCCCAAACCGGGUUAGUGAGGUUUACGAACCCCACUCCCCCUCCCAACUUUAACCCCGCACGCAUCCCGAGCCCUCACUUUUUUCUUCUUUAUCAAUCAUUAACCCCACUCCCCUCCCAAUUUUAACCCCGCACGCAUCCCGAGCUUUCACCUUUUUCUUCUUUAUCAAUCAUUAUCUUCUUAUCCCACCUACUCCAACCAAACACUUUUUUUCACUAUCUUAGACUAACUCCAACCUCCAACCAAACACAAAAAAAUUUUAACACCAUAUAACCCUGAACUUAAGCCUAUCCCUGGAAUAGCUACUUUUUCUUAACCCCGAACCAAACGGGGGCUAUGAUAUAUACAUAUAUAUAUACAUAUACAUAUAUAUGUAUAUACAUAUAUAUAUGUAUAUAUAUAUAUAUCUCAGACCAAUGAUAUAAAAAUACUCAUAACCGAGGAAAUAUGAGUAUUCAAAAGCUGGGAAUCUAAAUAAGGUAAUUAGUAAAAGUAGGCAAUCUAGUAUGAUAAAUUGGUUGAUGGGUUAAUUGGGAUCUCCUGGUGAAAGUAAAAUUCAUCCCUGGCGGUAGUAGGAUUGGUGUGUAGGGUAGUUAGUAUACUCAUAUUCCCCCAGAUAUGAGUAUUCUCAUAUCAUCGGAGUCGGAUACAUAUAUCUCUACACAUAUUCUCUGAUAUAUAUAUCUCAGGCCGAUGAUAUGAAAAUAUUCAUAACCGAGGAAAUAUGNUUAUAGUAGUAGUGAUCAGCAGGAGAGUAGUGGCGCGAAUCUUGUCCUGCUCAGCGGGUGGUCCAUUUUAUUUUAUUUGAAAAAAUUAUAACACUAAUAAUCUCAUAAUAUUGAAUAAUAUAAAAGCAAGUAAGAGACUUAUAUAGUUUAUUUGUGACUUGUAACUAUUAAAUUAGUAAAUAAAUUUUAUUAUGUCAGGCUUUUUAUUUGAAUAAUUAUUUAAUACUUUUUAUUUGAAUAAUUAUUAUUUAAUACUUUAAAUUUAUUUUUUAAUAAAUUUAGGUUGGCUAUGGGUAACGUGUUGGGACCGCAAGAAGCUUUUGGAAACAAAGAAUUGUCCGAGGAUAGGUAGAGAAUCCGGCAAAUGCAAGUAGGGCUGGCAAACGAGCGAGCCGGCUCGCGUUCGACUCGUGUUCGGCUCGAUAUUUGGCUCGCUCGAGCUCGGCUCGUUUCCACCCCUAAANUAAGCUCGCUCGAGCUCGGCUCGUUUCCACCCCUAAAUGCAAGUGGGAGAGAGAGAGACUAGAGAGAUAACAAAUUUUUUUUUUUUUUUUUAAAAAAAUCUAUGAUAUUGAUAGACCUCUCUUUCAUGCGUUUUCACGUGGAUCCGCCAAGGCGCAAUUUCCAAAUGUUCAUGUCAUAGAUCUCGACGUGGAGAUGCAUACAUAUUAAUAUUGAAGAAUAAUGCUUUGGCCCACAAUUUGUAUUCCACUACAUUAUUAAUAUAUAUAUAAACAUAAACUAGUACUCACAGGUAUUAGUGUAAAACGGGCCGGGUAGCACGUCGGCCGCCUGGCCCGUCACGACCUAGCAUGGCACGGCUGCUGUCGCAUUCGCGCCGGGCCGGUUCGACCCGGCUUUUCGGGCUGUGCUGGGCUGAACAUUCGUGGUCCAAAGGCCAAGCACGGUACGGACCAGUGUCAGGCCUGGACAUGAUGGACAGGAAGGUGGGCCGGGUGGCCUGCAUGGUGUGGGCCGUUUCUACUGGGCCGGCGAGGCCCAGGUAUUAAUAAGGGGAAUUAGGCCUGUAGGCCUUUUAGGCCUGCCUUAGACAGGCCUAUUUGGCCAGGCUUUAUUAAGCCUAUACAAAUCUUAGGCCGGGCUCCUAGGAGCCUAGGAACCAGGCCUUAACCCAAGUCAAAAGAUCUGCUAAGUCCAAGGGUUUGCGAGACCCUUGGAUGGUUGCCCAACAGCUGUUGAGCCGUUGAAAUUUUUUUUUUUGAAAAAAAAAAAAUACUUUUUUGGCUUUUGAAAGAAUAAAAAAAUAAAAAAAGACAUCUUUUUGGUUAAAAUGACUGAAAUGGCAACACUAACAUUUAAAAAUUGACCGUUAGAGAGGGCAUUUUGGACAAACACUAUUUUUUUAUAUUUAAAAAAAUUAAUUUUUUUACAUCUAUAAAUACUCUUAUAAAUCUCCAAAUUCAUCACAACAAACAUGCUUCAUUCAUUUUCUUCUACAAACACUAAUUCUCUCUCAAACUUUCAAACGACCACUAAUUCUUUCUCUAAUGUAAUGAAGAAAAAAUUAUGUUCGAUUUUUUUUUUUUUUCCUAUUGUUUACUAGCUGGCUGUGUAAACCAUGCCACCUUAUUUUCUUAAUAUAUAUUUUUAAUUUUUAAUUUUUUUAACUUUCCUCAAAUGUAACUAUGUAAUAUGAUUAAUUCAAAAUCUAUAUAUUUUUCGCCAUUACUUUUUUUGAGAAUAUCAAAUUCUUUUCAAAUAAUAAAAAAAUAUGAAAAAAAUAAUAUCAAUUUUAUAUUAAAGUUGGUUAUUAGAUCAAAGAGAUGGAAGUUAAAAAAUUUAUAUCAAAAAUCUAUAUAAUUGANUGGAUCAAACAAAUGUAAAUUAAAAUAUUUAUAUUAAAAAUCUAUAAAAGUGAAAGUGAAAAUUAUUUAUCUCUAAGUUCUAAAUUUUAUAUAAUAUUAAAAAUUUAAAUUUAUUGUUAGUAUUAACUUAUAAUUUAAAAAUUAGUUGUCUCUAUUUCUAAAAAAAUAUUUUUUUUUAAAAAAAAUAUAAAAGAGAUAGUUGGGAAGGAAUUUAAAAAAACUUUUUACUAGACUAGCAUGAAGCCCGGCCCGGCCUGGCCCGGCCUGGCCUGUGCCGGGUGGGCCUGGGAGCCGGGCCGGGCCUUCUUCUCUGAGAAAAUAUGCCAGCACGACCCAAUCCGAUUUUAUAACCGGGUCAGGCCCGGCCGACCCUUGACCUGAAUCGGCCCGAGUAAUAUGGGCCAUGACAGCUCAACGAGGCCCACAUUACACCCCUACCCAUAGGUAGGGGGUUUAAAAUUUCAAUUUCUCAUAAUACAAAUUUUACUAUAUUAUUGAUGUGUUAUUAUUUUUACAUAAAAAAUAUAAAAUAUAAAAUUAAUCAUAAUUUUUAGAAUUUAAUUAUUAUGUUUAAGAGUCACGAACUCACCACAUCAACAAUAGCACGGGAACCAUAAUGUGGAAACUCCACUGAUUUAAGCAAAUAUAACUGUGAACCCCUCCGUACGGUAGUCACUUCCAGAAACAAGGGGUUGAUUGAAGCGAACUUCUUACUGAGCCCCUCUAACAAAUGAAAAUAAUGCUUUACAUCCGAGCAAACAGUGGAACGCCAUUCAUUUUUGGCUAUUCUAUUUAGGAAAAACUGGUACCUUCUUUAAAUGUAAUUGUAGUUAUAAUUAACUCGAUCACCGUCACAGCAAUACGAGUGUAAUUGUUCUAUCAAUACAGCAUUAUUUUCAUUUGUUCAGAGAAAUGCAAAAGGCUCAAUCACAUUUGCGGCCAAGUUGCACAUAGAUAAAGCUAUAGCUUCGAUUGUAAUCUCGAGAACGCGACUUGUACCAAAUCCUUCCUCAAUGUCUUCCCUGAAGCAUUCUUAGGUAUUGAUUCAACGAAAAUGGCACGGCGAAUCUUUUUGUAUGGUGCAACCUGCAACAUUAUGAGGAAGAUAUUGGAUCUUGCGCCUCGAGCUCUUGUGAGGAGGAGCUUAACUGAAUUAAGUUGGACUACACAUCAAAUAUGAAUAUACAUAAACGACAGGUAUUCAUAUACCUGUUGAGAUACAAAUUCCGUGACUUGUGCCUCAUUCAGCGUGCUGUUGGGUUGUCUUACAACAAAGGCUAUGGGGACUUGACCUGCAUUUUCAUCCGGAUAUCUGCCAAAAAAAGCAAUUAGAGAACUUGGUACUUGUUUGGCUCUUUUCUAAAAUUUUGUUUUGGUUUUUCUUUAAGUUCUGUAUCUGUAAAAGCAUCUGAUAUGAGACUAUUUGGUUUUCUUUUCUUUUUCUUUUUUUUGAGAGAGAAAGAUAGCAUGCUAUCCGUUUCGUUUAUUUUAUUUAGAAAUAAACUUAGCUGAAAAUGUGAAUCAACUAGGAUUCGAACUUAGAUCUCGGGUACCAACCAUCAAGCCCUUUUGCCAUUUGCACUAGGGACGGUCGGUCUAUUUGGUUUUCUUAUUGUUUCUUUAAUUUGAAACCCAUCUCACAAUAAAAAAGAAAAAAAAAUAGUACUAUACAUGUUUUUGUCUAUUUGUUGUCAAAAUAAAAACACGUAUAUAUAGAGCAUGUAGACAAUCACACAAAUAGAGGGGGAAAAAAAGAAAAUUGUAAAUAAUGAUAAACUUGCAUUUAAGGAUUGGUGGGUGAACCUACAAUUUAUCUUUAAUUAAAAAGCUUGUCUAUUUUUUUUGCCUAGUGUACUCACGGAAUAACUGCAGCCUCAGUGAUUUCUGGGUGAGUUUGAAGUAAGUGCUCGAGUUCUGCAGGGGGAACCUGCACCAAAGUAAUAUCUCAAGAAUAUACGACAAAAUUUAAAUGCAAAGCAAAAUAUUCCAUGAACUAUGCUUGAAUCAAUAGAUUAGUAGGACUAAGAAAAUCAACUGAUCUACUUAGCAUAGCAGUUUCCCAGAUCUGUAAUCAAAAGUUAGCAUAUAGCCACUUGAGAACUUGUAAUUAAUGGUAAGUAAUACAGUAGGCGCAUUUUAUGCAUUGCAGAUACAUCCUUUCAAGAUCAUAGGUGAUUUAGCAUUCUUAAAAGGUUGUUCUAGUCAUCUGAUCAACAAAUUCAGAAUAUUAUACGAGCUCCUGAAAUAAGCCCUGCAGUCGAUAAGCCUCAUGAUGGAAAUACAGAACCAGUUCUAAUUUACAGGUCAUAAGCAGUCAACGAACCUCAUGUAAAGCUUAAUCAUCUAGUAAACUAGAAAACCUUGAAACUGGGUUAUAUAGCAUCAGUUUGGUACGUGAUGAUGUAUGCAUAAUUGGCGUGAUUUACGAAUCAAAUGCACAAAAAGCUGAUGAUUUUGUAUCAGUUUGGUUUAUCACACGUUUCAUAACAAGGAAGAUUCAAGCAGUAGUUACCUGGUAUCCCUUAUAUUUUAUCAACUCUUUUAACCUAUCAAGAAUGAAGAGGAAUCCAUCGUCAUCGAUGUAGCAGAGGUCCCCAGUUUUGAACCAUCCUUCGGAGUUCAGAAUUUCAGAGGUUGAUCUCUCGUCACCAAUGUAACCUACACUAAUGUAAUAAAUAGAAAUGACUUCAGCAUAAUAUUUAUCAAGCGCCACAAAUAUGUAGAGAUAGAGCUAGUGGGUCAGUUUAUGACAGUUCAAAGUAAAAUCCCCAAUUUGACAGACUAAAAUAACUUUUUCUUCUUUUUUUUACCUACACUAAUGUAAUAAAUAGAAAUGACUUCAGCAUAAUAUUUAUCAAGCGCCACAAAUAUGUAGAGAUAGAGCUAGUGGGUCAGUUUAUGACAGUUCAAAGUAAAAUCCCCAAUUUGACAGACUAAAAUAACUUUUUCUUUUUUUUUUUUUUUGAGAGAUAGGUAGCACGCUAGCCGUUUCGUUUAUUUUAUUUAGAAAUAAACUUAGCUAAAAAUGUGAAUCAACUAGGAUUCGACCUUGGGUCUGGAGUACCAACCACCAAACCCUUUGCCAAUUGCUCUACGGACGGUCGGUCAGACUAAAAUAACUUAAAUAAAAAAUAGUUCACAGCAGGUAUCAACUAAAUUAAUAAGAUUCGGGGAGUUUCCAUACGCUUUUACCAAAGUGACUAAACACUCUAAACUUGACUCAACAGCUGAAUUGUAUCUACGUCAAUACAAAAUUAAACAUACACACACACUAAAAUGGAAGUAAAGUUGCUUACCCUGCAUAAUUAAUGGUCCUCGAAUCCAAAGCUCCCCUCGAGCGCCUGGAGGCAAAGCAAUUCCAGUGCCCGAAUCGACAAUCUUUGCUUCGCAGCCCCACACGAGACGUCCGACAGAACCGAUACGUUGGCUUGCUUCCUCACCAUGAAACCGGAAAACACCGGUCGUUGUCUCGGUCAAUCCGUAUCCCUUCACACCCACUAGAAUUUAUCACUAUAAAGACUUAGAAUGAAAGUAAAAUCCAACCCGCGCUUUUGGUUUGGUUCGGCGGUUGCACAUGCUUUUUCGCACAGCUCUAGUUACUCUGGGAUGUUUGGCUCAGCCUAUUCGACUAGAAUAAUCAAACAGAGCUAGAAAAAGGAGUAGGACCGAUGGAUUACUCGUACAUAUGCCUAAUCCCGAAAAAGGAGGGAGCAAAGGGCGCCAACGACUUUAGACCUAUUAGUCUUAUUAACGGAGCACAGAAGAUCACUUCCAAAGUUCUCACUAAUAGGCUUGAGGGGGUGCUAAAAGAUAUUAUAUCACCUACUCAAACAGCAUUCCUAAAAGGUAGAUCGAUUCUGGACUCCUUCGUAACAGCAAGUGAGGUUGUUAAUUGGUGCUAUAAAACGCAGGGGGAAUGUGUAGGCAUAAAAGCUGACUUUGAGAAGGCUUACGACAGAGUAUGCUGGGGAUUUCUCCGAAAAAUCAUGAUAUGGCUGGGGGCAAAUCAGCGUUCGUGCGGUUGGAUUGACCAAUGUAUUGCCAACGCCAAAAUUGCUAUCCUUGUUAAUGGGGUUCCAUCCAAGUGGAUAAAAACCAAAAGAGGACUACGUCAAGGGGACCCGCUCUCUCCGUGCCUCUUUAUUCUGGUUGCGGAAGGUUUAGCGAGAUUGAUAAAUAAAGCGGUCAAAAGUCACUUGAUAAGAGGAGUGGGACCUAACAGCGAAUCUAAGGUUGCGUUUAUCCAGUAUGCUGAUGAUACAGUAUUCUUUUGCGAAGCACACAGCAAACAAGUACGGAACCUACUCUUUGUCUGGCAUAUUUUCGAGCGGUCAUCGGGGUUAAAGAUCAACAGGAGUAAGUCAGAGCUUUUUUAUUUAGGCAGGACGGCCCACCGGGGAGAGCGGUUUGCUCAGAUUUUAGGUUGUAAAUUGAGUUCUUUCCCGAUACGAUACCUUGGACUUCCCCUCAAGAAUAGUCGACUCAACAAAGCGGACUGGUGGCCUAUCAUUAGUAGAAUCGAGAAAAGGAUUGAAGGAUGGCAAGCAAACCUUUUGUCGGUCGGUGGAAGAUUGACACUAGUAAAUUCUGUCCUCUCAAAUCUAACUAUGUAUUUUUUUCUCGGUGUUGAAAGCGCCGAAAUGGGUCAUAAAGCGCAUAGAAGCACUUAGGAGGGCCUUCUUUUGGAAAGGAAGGAGCAGUGUGUCUGGCGGACAUUGUUUAGUGAAUUGGAAAACGGUUUGUCGAAGCAAAAAAGAGGGGGGCCUAGGAGUCAUGGCCCUUGAGACCAUGAACAUAGCCUUAUUAGCAAAGUGGCGGUGGAGAAUGUUAUCCGAUAACGGCUCGCAAUUGGGCAAUUUUAUUCGGAGUGCCUACUAUGUUAGAAGAACACCCCUUAGGGAAGGGGGUCUCUUUUCGACCUUCUUCCCAAUGGUGGCAGAGUGUGCUAAAGACAAGGGACAUCUUCAGGUGUGGUUUAUCUUUUACGAUAGGGGACGGCAACAAUGUCGGUUUCUGGACAGAUAAAUGGAUUGGUGAAAUGCCCCUGCAGUCACUCUUCCCUCGUAUCUUUAACGACAUAACAUCGCGAAUCCUUAAGGUCAGACAGUGCUUCGGGAGAAAUGGUUGGAGGUGGCACAAGAUUCUGCAAGGUUUCGCUCCGGAAUCUCAAAAUGAUAGUGCAUCAUUACUGGAGUUGAGGGAACUAGUAGAUACCCUCCUGUUGACGGAUAACAGAGACGUAGCCAGAUGGAGAUGGACUGCAACAGAAAUUUUCACAGUUAAAUCUCUGUAUACUUUCUUGCAGGAUGGCAGCGGACAUGAACGAAGGUUCGUUCAAUUGUGGAAGAUCAAAACGCCUCUGAAAGUUAAAAUCUUCGGGUGGCUAGUACUAAAGCAUAGGGUACUAACGAGAGAUAAUAUGGCCAUGAGGGGAUGGUCUGGAGAGUUGAGCUGAUCGUUCUGUUCAGAAGAUCCAGAGACAGUUGACCAUCUGUUUGCUGCAUGCAGUUUCUCACGAGACUUGUUCGGGUGCUUCAUGCCCAAUAAGCGCUUCGUCAAUACGUGUGCUUCAACCGACUUGAUCUGGAACACUUAUAGCGCUACGUGGGGUAAUGUACGGAGAAGGGAUCUAUCGACCAUUAUUACCGUGUGGUGGGCUGUGUGGUGGGAUAUUUGGUUGGAACGGAACAGGAGAAUAUUCGAAGAUAAGAAAACUCCACUGAGGCAACUAGUGUUGGACGUUCGAUCUUUUAGAAGGGUUUGGGAUCUACAUUGCAUCUAGUUUUUUCUUUUUUUUUUCUUUUUUUUUUCUUUUUUCCCUCCGGAAGUCUAGCUGCUUCAUCUAUGCUUAAUUCACCUCCCUAUUAAAUGAAGCGGUAGCAUGCUAUCUUUCUCUCACAGAAANGUUUAAAAAUAAAAAACUAUUACCUCCUCAACUAGUGAGGAUAUUUUGAAAUUGGCCCAUUACUCUUUUUUUCUUUACUUGAUUUUUUUUCGAAAUGAAAUAAUUUUAGUCGAUUAAAUCCAUAAAUAAUUUAUUUCGGUGCAACUAAAUUUAGAAAUUUUAUUGCAAAUAAUAUUGAAACAAAGUCACUAGAUUUAAUGACAAUUGUUUAAAGUCAAAAAAAUUAGAAGCUAAGAAAAUACAACUAAUAAAAGUAAAAAAAAAAAAAAAAAAAAAAAAAAAAGGGGCUAGAAUUUCCAAAUUUGAAGGAAAACAGAAUAAGACAACAGUAGUAACCUGGGUGAGGCGUGCAUUGGGAAAGCUCGCCAAGAACCGCCGGAUCAAAUCGGUCCCGAUCGGCGCCCCGCUGCAGGUCACCACGGCCAGCGAGCUCACGUCGCCCACCGAUGCCGCGCCCGCGCACCCAGCCUCUCGAAAUUUCACCAGCGCCAGCACGGCCGGCGGCGCCAAUGCGAGAUGCGUCAGCCGGAAGCGCGCGACGGCCUUCAGCGUCCGCUUGGCGUCGAACCUCUCCGUCUGAAUCACCGCCGUCUCCCCGACCGCCGCCGCCUUGAGGCAGAAAGCGAAGCCGUAGGCGUGGAAGAGCGGGACCGUCAGCAGCAUUCUAGCCGCCGGUGCAGCAGCAGCAGCCGACGCGGCCGCUGCCAGCGGCGCCGUGGCCGCUAUCAGGUUGCGGUGGGUGAGCAAAACGCCCUUCACCCGCCCCGUCGUCCCCGAGGAGUAGAGGAUCGCCGCGGAGUCCGAUUGGCGGAUCACAACGGCCUCCACUGUGGGAUAAGAUUCGGAGAUUUGCAAGAAGGAUCGGAAUCGGGGGGAGUCGAGGAGGAUGGUGGGGAGGUUGGACGGUAGCUUGUGGGCGGUGGAGGAGGUGCCAUUGGCGGCGUCGAUGAGAGCGGGGUGGGAGGGGAGGGGGGAAGAAGGGAGGAAGGAGAAGGCGAAGGAGGGGAAGGAGAGGGGGAGGGAAGGUGGAGGGAGGGGGACGGCGGGGCGGAGGCUGUGGAAGGUCGUCGUCGCCGCGCAGAAGCCGCUGCGAGGGUCGACGUCCGGCGGAGACUGUGGUGGUGGUGGUGGUGGUGCUUCGGCGGCCAUUGAUGGAGUUGAGCUUGAUUACGACGCAGAGGAUCAACGUCGACGGUGAAUUAUAGUAGUAGUGAUCAGCAGGAGAAUAGUGGCGCGAAUCUUGUCCUGCUCAGCGGGUGGUCCAUUUUAUUUUAUUUGAAAAAAUUAUAACACUAAUAAUCUCAUAAUAUUGAAUAAUAUAAAAGCAAGUAAGAGACUUAUAUAGUUUAUUUGUGACUUGUAACUAUUAAAUUAGUAAAUAAAUUUUAUUAUGUCAGGCUUUUUAUUUGAAUAAUUAUUUAAUACUUUUUAUUUGAAUAANGGGGAGAGGAUGAAGGCGACGUCGCCUUUGGACACGGCGCCGGAGGAGCGGAGCGCGGCGGCGAGGGAGCGGAUUUGAGAGAGCAGCUCCGGGUAGGAGAUGGCGUCGCCAUUGGCGGCGUCGAUGAGAGCGGGGUGGGAGGGGAGGGGGGAAGAAGGGAGGAAGGAGAAGGCGAAGGAGGGGAAGGAGAGGGGGAGGGAAGGGGGAGGGAGGGGGACGGUGGGGCGGAGGCUGUGGAAGGUCCUCGUCGCUGCGCAGAAGCCGCUGCGUGGGUCGACGUCCGGCGGAGACUGCGGUGGUGGUGCUGCUUCGGCCGCCAUGGGAGAGAAGAAUCAGACCAGCGGGGGGAUUCGCGGUUUCCGUACGACUGACGGGGCAAGGCAAAUUUUUAAAUACGUUGUUUUGCGCAUUUUUGUCACUUUAGUAUUUUAUAAUUUAAAAUAUAUUAAUUUAAUAUUUUAAAAUUUUUUUCGUGAGUCUUUCGUUAAUUUUUUAUUAAAUUAUAUAUCAAAAAUUUCAGAUCAUCCAUCUUUAAUUUAUCAAAUAUUCACUUCAAUAUCUUUACUUUUAGGGUGCGUUUGGUUCUCGCUAUCUUUUAAAGAUUCCUAGUAAUCCAAUGGAAAUAAAAAUAUAUGACGGUGUUUGGCUAAACGCACUAAGUAAUCUAGUUGGUAAUAUUGGAUUCACUUAGGAAUAAGAUUCACCCCAAAGUACUAAUCUCAUUCCCUUGAGGGAGGGUGGGUAUCCUCAUAUUAAUGGAUUGAGAUAAUCAUAAUAUGUCUAAUCUCUUUCUUUCUUUCUACCCGCCGGCUAAUUGAUAUUAUUUUUCUUUACACUCUAACCUUAUAUCUCUCUCUAAACUUAUUUUUCUCUCUAAAAUUCAACUUUUUUUUCUCUCUCUAAACUAAGCUUUCUCUCUCUCUUUUUCUAAAAUUUCAACUCUCUCACUCCCUCUAAUUUCGACUAUAUUUUUCUUUCUAUUUUUUUAAUUAUGCUCUCUCUCUCUAACUUAUACUCUCUCUCCCUUUUUUCUAAAAAGAUGUUGAAACUUUUGGUAACAUUAUCUAAAAUUAAUUAAAUAAAUAAAUUAAUUAAUUGUAUAUUUUUUGCAAUAUAAAAUAACAUGGCUAAUUAAUAUUACCGUGCGAACCAAACACAGGAAUUCUACAUUUUUAGUAAUAGAAUGAAUAGGAAUAAGAUUCUCAGAUAUCUUUUAUUCCUAGUAAUCUUUCAUAAUGCGAACCAAACGCACCCUUAAUUUUAUCACUAAUUUAACAAAAUAAAUUAAUAAAGUAAAAAAAUUUGAAACAAUAUAAGUGGUAUUUGGAGUUUUUCGAGGAACAAAGACCGCGGGUAUUUGAGCAGCAUGUGCGUGAUGAACGGGCAGCACGGAUUUCCUACAACCUGGGUUCUACGUUUUUUGCUGCUACCAAGGUACUUGGGAUUCUUCCAUGUUAGUCAUCCAAUAUGUCAAAAUAUUAUUUUUACUAUUCAAUAUUUGUUUUUUGUACGUCUACUAUAAUUUGAUUUUUAAAUUUAAAUAUAUUAUUUAUUUUUAUAUAUUUUAUUACGAUAUACACCGAAUUCAAAAUUUUAAAUCAAGUAGUGUUAACUGAUUCAAAUCAAAUAAAUUCAAAUUUUGGAUAGUUGGAAAUUUUGAAAAGUUAGAUAUAUGAUGCAAAAUAGUUCAUCGUGUAGAUAAAUUCGGUAUGUUUUGAUCUAUUUUAUUUGUUGCUACUUAGUUAGCAGCCCUUUUUUUUUUGUUUGCCACUGAAAACUGUCUGAUACUAUUAGAUUUUUAAAAAAAAGAAGUUAGGAAUGAAACAAUAAUCCUUUUGUUUUGUUUUGUUUUUUAUUAAACAGGGGUAUACCAAAAAGUAUAAUUUGAUAUUUCCAUUUUCAUAUUUAUGGUCUUUGCCAUACUACAAUAUGGCUUUGGAUGGCUUCGGAAGCUAAGUAAUCCAAUGGGAAACUUAGGCACUGAAGCAAAACGGAAAUUAACAUCAAUAUAAAUGUAGAAAUUAUGUAUCAAGAUAGUAAUGUAUACUUCACAAUUCUCAUUAAUCACCACACCAACCAUACAAGUCAUAGUCUAGAAACAGAGCCACAUAUUUGGUUUAUAAUUUCCCUUCUUAGUAUCUUCCCAGAUGGCGAUUUUGGUAUUCUGUCAACAAACAGAACCUUGCGUAUCUUCUUAUACGGCGCGACCUGUUAAAAAAAAUUAAAUGAAAACAUUCACUUCAUAUAUGUUGUGUGAUAAUCCAUAAUCUUGCUCGAAAUCUCUUCUUCCACAAAAUAUUAAUAUUUGAAAAAAUUUGGAGCGAAAUAUACCUGCUGAGCAACAUAAUCCAUUACUUCGGUUUCGCUGAUAUCGCAUCCUGGUUGUCUCACCACAAGUGCCACAGGUAUUUGACCAGCUUCUUCAUGAGGAUACCUAAAGCAAUGCGAAAAUACGAUGAUCGUAAGUAAGCAUACAACUGUUCUUGACAAAAUUUUUGUGCGUAUAAAAGUUUAUUUUUCACUUUAUUCAACUUCUGAUUACAGAGUUUAGAAACUCACGGUAUCACGGCCGCGUCGAGGAUCUUCGGAGAAGAUUGGAGCACGUGCUCCAACUCUGCAGGUGGAACCUGUGAUAGCAACCAAAUAAUGCCCAGUGAAACUAAAUUAUGUUAUCCAAAGAUAUUAAAGAAAAGAAGUGUUCUUUUUUGUUACUACUGAGCAAAAACUUUUCAUAGAGAUAAGAACAAGGACCUGGUACGCCUUGUAUUUGAUUAGCUCUUUAAGCCUAUCAACUACAUGAACAAAUCCAUCUUGAUCAAUGUAACAAAGAUCGCCCGUCUUCAACCACCCUUCGCUAUCAAAGGCUGAAGCAUUCGCUUCGUCGUCCCCGACGUAACCUAAGAAAAUAGAAUACGUAUGUAAUUCGGAUCAAAUGAAUAUCAACUCUUCAACCUAAUUUGCGUGUGUUCUCUUGUACUAUUUUUGCUUCAGUACUAAUAAUAAAACAAGUAAACUCAACAUCUGAAAUGUUACAAAGAAAUGAUUACUUCUAAAAUUUUCGCAUAAUUUCUGUAUAUUGAUCCAACACUUUUCGACUUAUAACACCGUCUCCGAAUCUAAUCCUACAUGCCUAACAAGAACAUUUAUCUCAUGAAUAAGGCAAAAAAAAAAUAGUAAGAAGGAAAAAUAAGAAAAAAGAGGUGUUACUUUUCUUCUUCUUUUUUUGAGAGAGAGAGAGAUAGGUAGCAUGCUAGCUACUUCGUUUAUUUCAUUUAGAAAUAAACUUAGCUAGAAAUAUAAAUCAACUAAGAUUCGAGCUUGGGACCUCGAACUAGCAUGUUAUAUUUUUUAUAUUACCUUUCAUGAGAGCCGGGCCUCGGACCCAAAGCUCUCCUUUUUGGCCAACUGACAGUAUAUUACCAGUGACAUGGUCUACGAUUUUCACUUCGACGUUCUGCGCAAGGCGACCGGCGGAUCUCAGAUGACAGCAUUCUUCGGGGUUGAUCAUCCUCGAUAUACCUCCGGCCUCUGUCGCACCAUAUCCCUAGCGCCCAAAAUAAAAAAAUGUAGGAGUCUGGAUAAGACAAAAUCAGCUUUACAAUAAGAUAAGAAAAUAGAAGCUGCAAUUUGAACUGUUUUUAGUGUCCCUAGCUUGGCACGAGGACACUGGAGGGACUCGAAUUGAAAAAGAAAUGUCAUGGGUUCAUCAAAUAGCACUAAAAUUACUAAAUUUUGAGUAUUCCAUUUCUAUCUUCAAAAUUAGUAACCAAAGAAGAUUUACUAAAUAAACCUUUCAACAGUAUAAAAUAGCUCUAUUUAAACAGUAUCAGGUCGGGACAAAAGAUGUCAUGUCAUUCAUUACAUGUCUAACACCACCCAACUUUUUCAAAAAAAAAAAAACAGUUGCAGUCAAAACAUAGUUGGCACCUGCCCAUCUUCUUCAUGCAACUACUAUUUUUUGAAAACUGCUUACUAAUAUGUGUGACUUGUUGAAAGGAGCUUUCGCUAUCCUUUUUCUUUUUUUUCCAUUUUGUUAUGCAAAGACAAAAUACCAGUGUUUACAAAUAGUGGCAAUCUCAAUUAUUAAUGCACACUGGGCCUCCUCAACUUAUUUGCUUGCUAAGCUGUGCACUGAUGUAUUGCUAAUCAAAGGGAGUUGCUGCGGAUAACUGUUUAUGAUAAAAAUUUGAUUAAACUCUCUCGAUGCGAAACUCAAAUAAUCGGUAGUAGAGCGACUACCGAAUUUUCAGCGAUUGAUGCCAGAGCAAGUUACAAAUCCUGAUCUCCAAAAAAAAAGAUUUCUACAUACUAUUCAUGUGUAGAUAAAUAUAUAAUAUUUUAAAUUUUACGUGCACAAAUUAAUUAAGAACUUUUAAAUUAUCAUUAUUUAAUGACUGGUAUAAUUUUUUUUUUUUAUAAAAAAGUUCUUUUUAGAUGUUUUUGAAAAAUUAUUUCUCUCUACUAAACUCUCAUGCUCAAACCAUAAAUGAAGUUUUGCUAUCAAUUUUCCUUUUCAAUCAAAUGGUUUAUUUAUGAAUUUUUAUUUAUUUUGAAAGGUAUACUAAUCCAUUAGUCACGGGGAUGGGAAAGAGUCACGGUAACACAAUCAAAGCAAUUGAUUAUGCAAAUCAAACAAUAGGAAUUUAUUUUUAAAAUUAAAGGAAGAACUCCUUAAUUGCCAUCGGAAUGCUAAAAGUGGUGUGACUUUUUUUGCUAUGAAAUUAAAAACUAAGCAAUCAUGUGAGACUUGCUUUUAUUAUCAAAUUAUAAAUGACUCUUUGAUGUGCCCCCACUCCCAACCCUAACUCUAUUAAAAAAAAAGUCAUAGGAGUUUCUGUAGCGGUUCUGUAAAGAAAAUUAAUAUUAAAAAAAAAUAAUUUUGAUAUUGACAGAUAGAAAACGUCGUAUUUAUUCAUGAUUUGAAUAUUUUUUUUUUUUACUCCAGCAAUAUUAAGAAUAAUUUUGGCAACAUUAAUUCUCUUCCGUAAAAAAAAAAAAAAACUUUUACCAAGGGUUUUGUUUAACUUUUCUUAUCACAUUUUUGUUCUGUUUGGUGUAAAAAAAUUAAUUUGGUAAAAAAGAACUUUUUUCAUAAUAAAUUUGUAAUAGAAUUAUAUUCUUACCCAGUUUGAUAAUUAAUGUACUGUUCCUACUCAUCUUAAAUUGUACGUAUAUGUAAAUCAAUUGGGUUGACCAUCACUGUCUCACAUCCAUAUUAUGCAGGAUUUUGUGAACAACUCCUGUUGGAUGCGUAUUGCUACAGGUUCCUUAAUAAAAUGUUAUCUAUGGCUUAAUAUAUAUUGUUAUUAUAUUAAUAAUAAUAUAUUCGCAUCAAUAAAUAAUUAAUGUAGACUAUAUGCCCCAUACCAAUAUAUAUCAUUAUCAAUCUUUAAAAUUAAUUUUUUUGGGAGAUUCAAAAUGUAUUUCUAGUCAGAGCAUGCCAGCACAUUAAUCCCGUUGCAGCAGCAGUACAACGUAAAUAGCACUGCUGACGUGUAGCGUACCUGCUGCAGCUCCACGCGUGGGAAGCGUGAUUGGAACCGCCGGGCCGCCGCCACGUGCAGCGGCGCCCCGCCGCACACGACUCGCCGGAGCGCCGGCAGGCCGUAGCGCGACGCCUCCGCCGUCAUCACCACCGUCGUCUCCGCCAGCGCCACCCCCUUCAGCGCGAAGAAGAACCCCAGGGAGUGGAACAUCGGCGCCCCCAGCAGGGUCACCUGCUGCACUAAAAUAUAAAAAUAUUAAAACACUGUUCGUUCGUUGAGAUAUUGUAUCAUAUGAUAUAACACUCGGUUAUUUAAUACUGUAGUAUCAGAGCAGAAGGUUUCUGAAAACUGGUAAUUGACGACCUGCGGUCCGUCGACAGGGCGCAGCGCGUGGAAUCCGGCGGCCAUGGCGAUGAAGCUGCGGUGCGGCAGCGCCGCCGCCUUCACCUGCCCCGUGGUGCCGGACGAGUACUGGAUGGCCGCCGUGUCCGACUGCAUGAUCUCGACGUCGGGAACGGGCGCAGAGUCGGCUUUCAAGAAGGAGCGGAAUCGGGGGGAGUCGAGGAGGACGGUGGGGAGGUCGGACGGGAGCUUGUGGGCGGUGGAGGAGGUGGCGAAGGCGACGGAGGGUCUCGAGAGGCCGACGAGGCGGGAGAUCUCCGGAGGGGUCGAAACAGGGUUCGCAGGGGAGACGACGACGCCGAGGGAGAGGAGAGCCA
RNAcentral lists this long non-coding RNA (19922 nucleotides) under Ananas comosus (pineapple). RNAcentral's name for it is "long non-coding RNA (ACOM_LNC025320)". Lineage: Eukaryota; Viridiplantae; Streptophyta; Magnoliopsida; Poales; Bromeliaceae. The record is from RNAcentral.